RNAcentral lists this ribosomal RNA (297 nucleotides) under uncultured Glomus. RNAcentral's name for it is "partial 18S ribosomal RNA". It matches the Rfam family "Eukaryotic small subunit ribosomal RNA", at positions 569 to 874 of the family's 1831-position model. Lineage: Eukaryota; Fungi; Glomeromycota; Glomeromycetes; Glomerales; Glomeraceae. The record is from RNAcentral.
AGCAGCCGCGGUAAUUCCAGCUCCAAUAGCGUAUAUUAAAGUUGCUGCAGUUAAAAAGCUCGUAGUUGAAUUUCGGGAUCAAUAUGUUGGUCAUGCCUCGGUACGUACUAGCUUAUUGGUUUCUUUCUUCUGACGAACCAUAAUGUCAUUUAUUUGGUGUUAUGGGAAUCAGGACUGUUACUUUGAAAAAUUAGAGUGUUUAAAGCAGGCUCACGCUUGAAUACAUUAGCAUGGAAUAAUGAAAUAGGACGUUUGAUUCUAUUUUGUUGGUUUCUAGGAUUGACGUAAUGAUUAAUA